GACGAACGUUGGCGGCGUGCUUAACACAUGCAAGUCGAACGGAAAGGCCCUGCUUUUGUGGGGUGCUCGAGUGGCGAACGGGUGAGUAACACGUGAGUAACCUGCCCUUGACUUUGGGAUAACUUCAGGAAACUGGGGCUAAUACCGGAUAGGAGCUCCUGCUGCAUGGUGGGGGUUGGAAAGUUUCGGCGGUUGGGGAUGGACUCGCGGCUUAUCAGCUUGUUGGUGGGGUAGUGGCUUACCAAGGCUUUGACGGGUAGCCGGCCUGAGAGGGUGACCGGCCACAUUGGGACUGAGAUACGGCCCAGACUCCUACGGGAGGCAGCAGUGGGGAAUAUUGCACAAUGGGCGGAAGCCUGAUGCAGCAACGCCGCGUGCGGGAUGACGGCCUUCGGGUUGUAAACCGCUUUCGCCUGUGACGAAGCGUGAGUGACGGUAAUGGGUAAAGAAGCACCGGCUAACUACGUGCCAGCAGCCGCGGUGAUACGUAGGGUGCGAGCGUUGUCCGGAUUUAUUGGGCGUAAAGGGCUCGUAGGUGGUUGAUCGCGUCGGAAGUGUAAUCUUGGGGCUUAACCCUGAGCGUGCUUUCGAUACGGGUUGACUUGAGGAAGGUAGGGGAGAAUGGAAUUCCUGGUGGAGCGGUGGAAUGCGCAGAUAUCAGGAGGAACACCAGUGGCGAAGGCGGUUCUCUGGGCCUUUCCUGACGCUGAGGAGCGAAAGCGUGGGGAGCGAACAGGCUUAGAUACCCUGGUAGUCCACGCUGUAAACGGUGGGUACUAGGUGUGGGGUCCAUUCCACGGGUUCCGUGCCGUAGCUAACGCUUUAAGUACCCCGCCUGGGGAGUACGGCCGCAAGGCUAAAACUCAAAGGAAUUGACGGGGCCCCGCACAAGCGGCGGAGCAUGCGGAUUAAUUCGAUGCAACGCGUAGAACCUUACCUGGGUUUGACAUGGAUCGGGAGUGCUCAGAGAUGGGUGUGCCUCUUUUGGGGUCGGUUCACAGGUGGUGCAUGGCUGUCGUUAGCUCGUGUCGUGAGAUGUUGGGUUAAGUCCCGCAACGAGCGCAACCCUUGUUCACUGUUGCCAGCACGUUAUGGUGGGGACUCAGUGGAGACCGCCGGGGUCAACUCGGAGGAAGGUGGGGAUGACGUCAAGUCAUCAUGCCCCUUAUGUCCAGGGCUUCACGCAUGCUACAAUGGCUGGUACAGAGAGUGGCGAGCCUGUGAGGGUGAGCGAAUCUCGGAAAGCCGGUCUCAGUUCGGAUUGGGGUCUGCAACUCGACCUCAUGAAGUCGGAGUCGCUAGUAAUCGCAGAUCAGCAACGCUGCGGUGAAUACGUUCCCGGGGCU
Molecule: ribosomal RNA, 1346 nt
Filed under: uncultured bacterium
Lineage: Bacteria
Description: partial 16S ribosomal RNA
Rfam family: Bacterial small subunit ribosomal RNA
Source: RNAcentral